AUUAAGUAACUUAAUUUAAAGUCUUGAUCUCUUAAAUCAAUUUAUAAUAAUUAAAAAUUAUUCUUAAUGAU
RNAcentral lists this transfer RNA (71 nucleotides) under Gunungiella wangi. RNAcentral's name for it is "tRNA-Lys". The record is from RNAcentral. Lineage: Eukaryota; Metazoa; Arthropoda; Insecta; Trichoptera; Philopotamidae.